Molecule: ribosomal RNA, 615 nt
Filed under: uncultured fungus
Lineage: Eukaryota; Fungi
Description: eukaryotic LSU rRNA
Rfam family: 5.8S ribosomal RNA (bases 250-403)
Source: RNAcentral
AGUCGUAACAAGGUCUCCGUAGGGUGAGUUUUGAACGACUUCUAACUAAUAUUGAAUGAAUGCUAACAGAUUUCCAGUGAACCUGCGGAGGGAUCAUUACUGAGUGAGGGUCUCUGACCCGACCCUCCAAACCCUUUGUGAUUUAAACCUCUGUUGCCUCGGGGCGACCCGGACCCGCGUCUAGGGCCCCCGACGGACCAUUUCAAAACACUGCAUCUUUGCGUCGGAUUGAAUAAAGUAAAUGAUUAAAACUUUCAACAACGGAUCUCUUGGUUCUCGCAUCGAUGAAGAACGCAGCGAAAUGCGAUAAGUAAUGUGAAUUGCAGAAUUCAGUGAAUCAUCGAAUCUUUGAACGCACCUUGCGCCUCUUGGUAUUCCGAGAGGCAUGCCUGUUUGAGUGUCAUGAAAUAUCAAUCCCCGAGGGUUUCUUGACCCUUGGUGGACUUGGAAUUGGGUGUCUGCCUACCAAGGCUCACCUUAAAUGACUCAGUGGGAACUGCUUGACCCAUGCCUGACGUAAUAAGUUUCGUCUCAGCUGGUCCUGUGGCCUGCUCACAACAACCCAUAUCUUUUGACAUUGACCUCAAAUCAGGUAGGGCUACCCGCUGAACUUAA